UCCCUGGUGGCUCAGACGGUAAAGCGUCUGCCUGCAAUGCGGGAGACCCGGGUUCAAUUCCUGGGUGGGGAA
Molecule: transfer RNA, 72 nt
Filed under: Ovis aries (sheep)
Lineage: Eukaryota; Metazoa; Chordata; Mammalia; Artiodactyla; Bovidae
Also listed under: 2 other names
Rfam family: tRNA
About the family: Transfer RNA (tRNA) molecules are approximately 80 nucleotides in length. Their secondary structure includes four short double-helical elements and three loops (D, anti-codon, and T loops).
Source: Rfam by way of RNAcentral